RNAcentral lists this ribosomal RNA (997 nucleotides) under Cupriavidus necator. Its description in RNAcentral is "bacterial SSU rRNA". It matches the Rfam family "Bacterial small subunit ribosomal RNA", at positions 67 to 1056 of the family's 1533-position model. The record is from RNAcentral. Lineage: Bacteria; Pseudomonadati; Pseudomonadota; Betaproteobacteria; Burkholderiales; Burkholderiaceae.
CGGCAGCACGGGCUUCGGCCUGGUGGCGAGUGGCGAACGGGUGAGUAAUACAUCGGAACGUGCCCUGUAGUGGGGGAUAACUAGUCGAAAGAUUAGCUAAUACCGCAUACGACCUGAGGGUGAAAGCGGGGGACCGUAAGGCCUCGCGCUACAGGAGCGGCCGAUGUCUGAUUAGCUAGUUGGUGGGGUAAGAGCCUACCAAGGCGACGAUCAGUAGCUGGUCUGAGAGGACGAUCAGCCACACUGGGACUGAGACACGGCCCAGACUCCUACGGGAGGCAGCAGUGGGGAAUUUUGGACAAUGGGGGCAACCCUGAUCCAGCAAUGCCGCGUGUGUGAAGAAGGCCUUCGGGUUGUAAAGCACUUUUGUCCGGAAAGAAAUCGCGCUGGUUAAUACCUGGCGUGGAUGACGGUACCGGAAGAAUAAGCACCGGCUAACUACGUGCCAGCAGCCGCGGUAAUACGUAGGGUGCGAGCGUUAAUCGGAAUUACUGGGCGUAAAGCGUGCGCAGGCGGUUUGAUAAGACAGGCGUGAAAUCCCCGAGCUCAACUUGGGAAUGGCGCUUGUGACUGUCAGGCUAGAGUAUGUCAGAGGGGGGUAGAAUUCCACGUGUAGCAGUGAAAUGCGUAGAGAUGUGGAGGAAUACCGAUGGCGAAGGCAGCCCCCUGGGACGUCACUGACGCUCAUGCACGAAAGCGUGGGGAGCAAACAGGAUUAGAUACCCUGGUAGUCCACGCCCUAAACGAUGUCAACUAGUUGUUGGGGAUUCAUUUCUUCAGUAACGUAGCUAACGCGUGAAGUUGACCGCCUGGGGAGUACGGUCGCAAGAUUAAAACUCAAAGGAAUUGACGGGGACCCGCACAAGCGGUGGAUGAUGGUGGAUUAAUUCGAUGCAACGCGAAAAACCUUACCUACCCUUGACAUGCCACUAACGAAGCAGAGAUGCCUUAGGUGCCCGAAAGGGAAAGUGGACACAGGUGCUGCAUGGCUGUCGUC